AGAAAAAGAAAUACAUCGAUUUUGAGGAGAGUUCCAGCCUGUGCACCGUCUUCAGCAUCAACACCUGAGAUUUUUGAACGUUCCAAAAUUAUGAGAAAGGGCAAGGCGCUUGUGGACUAGCUACACUCGAAUUCAUCGAUCGAGAAAGUGUUCUAAAGGCUUAGACAUGACCUCACCUCUAGAGUUUGAUAGCAGAUCUU
Long non-coding RNA from Capsicum annuum, 200 nucleotides. RefSeq lists it as uncharacterized. The transcript is spliced from 3 exons. Lineage: Eukaryota; Viridiplantae; Streptophyta; Magnoliopsida; Solanales; Solanaceae. The record is from RefSeq and is a predicted model, not a curated record.